UAACCCUCUCCCAAGCUAGCUGACUCCCUUUUUCUUCCCUUCAUUUUCAUCUUUUUCUUCUCCAAAUUGAAUCGUUAGUUCUUCAAUCAGGAAGUAUCUAAGUAUUCCUGACGUCUUCAGCUUCAAAUCUGACCGAUUAAUUUCUCCUUCUAGUAUCCGGAAUCUUCAAGCUCACUAGGGUGCAAGCGUGAGGUUAGGGCAUUCAGGGUUUUUACUGCUUGAUUGAAAGAAGCAAAUGAUGUCCCUUUGGAGCAACAUUGAGAGUGAGGAUGCAACCCCUAGUUCUUAGGAUAUCUAUUAUCUAUCUUUUUCAUUUUGAAAGACUUGUCUUUAUUACAGUUUAAAAAUUUAUAGAUCUUUUGGAAUAUUUUAGUUAUAUUGUAUUUUGAAAUACUUAUAAUAGGUAAAGUUUAAACUCAUAGCCUCUUUUGAAAUUACUUAAAAUUAUAAUUCUAUUUUAGAUCCUCUUAACUGCUUUAUUAUAUUAUAAUGCUUA
This is a long non-coding RNA of Vigna radiata var. radiata (mung bean), 496 nucleotides long. RefSeq lists it as uncharacterized. The record is from RefSeq and is a predicted model, not a curated record. NCBI's taxonomy places the organism in Eukaryota, Viridiplantae, Streptophyta, Magnoliopsida, Fabales, Fabaceae. The transcript is spliced from 3 exons.